UGUGCGAAUAAUGAACGAUCAGAAUAAAAGUGAAUAUUAUCCCUUGUUAUUCUGAAUCCGCUCCCUAUAAUGCGCCUCCAUCGACACGGAGCCUGCGAAUACCAUCACAGAGUCUCUGAAGGUCACAGAGAAAAAACCUGCAAAUUAAGGUUGACUCUGAAAGAGGAAAGCGUAAUAUACGCCACCUCGAGUUAGCAAGCGAAAGCGCGUAACUCACUGCUCUUUAACAAUUUAUCAGAC
This 240-nucleotide non-coding RNA is filed under the name Chania multitudinisentens RB-25. Its description in RNAcentral is "Yersinia sRNA 197". It matches the Rfam family "Yersinia sRNA 197". From Rfam's summary of the family: 5' located ORF: gmhB, 3' located ORF:16S rRNA. Lineage: Bacteria; Pseudomonadati; Pseudomonadota; Gammaproteobacteria; Enterobacterales; Yersiniaceae. The record is from Rfam by way of RNAcentral.